ACCAAAUCAUCAAUUUGGACCAAACCAAGCCUUAUUGCCCAAUCACAGGAAGAGAGAGAAAAAAAAUCUCAACUCCUUCCCCUCUCUCGACGCCGACAGCUCUCCCUCUCCCUUUCUUUCGGUCUCCGGCCACCUGCCACCAUUUUCGACAAAUGAACGCUCUAAAUGCACCUAUUCGAUGCAAGAAUCAAGAAUAUGGCCUCAAAUAGUGCUGUUAUUGCGCCGUUGGAGAGAAAUCGCAAUCUAAAGGGGCUGUUACUGUCGCAGCACAAUUUUCCGGCGAUUCUCGCCGUUCUCGAGGAGCUGGGGUGACAAGGUUAGCUCGAAUCGACUCCUUGCGACUGGGCGAGCAUUUCCCUCAGUCGAUUCAUGGGUUUAUCAGGAAAUGAGGAGACCACCGUGAACGGCGGUGAGGUUAGCUACUGUCGGCCUGAUUCCGGCCAAAUGGCUCAUCGGCUCGCUGAAUUGAUGUCGAAAUCGAACUCACCAUCAAAUUCCAAGCAGAGCAGUGGAAGCCUCGUGAAGUUCCCGUGAGACACGAUUUUCCGUCUACCGUGAACGGCAGCCCGCGAUGGAGAUCCGGUUAGACUCCGGCAGGGACUUAGAGGCAGAAUCGUCUACCCUAGAAGCUGAUCUCAAAUCCGCGAUCCAAUUUCAAAUUUAUGCAUUAGUCACAAGGAUUUGCACGAUGAAAGCUGAUAAAGGAUUGGGAAUGAGAUUAGCUAUGCUUUUAGCAUACAGAAUGGAGCUGCCGCUUGCAGAUCAGGCCUGACUUACGUUGGACCCGCCCCCUG
Molecule: non-coding RNA, 794 nt
Organism: Jatropha curcas
Lineage: Eukaryota; Viridiplantae; Streptophyta; Magnoliopsida; Malpighiales; Euphorbiaceae
Source: RefSeq, a predicted model, not a curated record